Molecule: long non-coding RNA, 2595 nt
Filed under: Homo sapiens (human)
Lineage: Eukaryota; Metazoa; Chordata; Mammalia; Primates; Hominidae
Description: HSALNT0332598
Source: RNAcentral
CUUCCUCUAUGUCCAGCAGCUCCCAGUCUUAGCUUUCAGAGGCUGUCUGCCCCAGGUCAUGUGUGGCUUCUGGGGAAAGGAGCCUACUGACACUCCUCAAAGUCAGCGGGCCUGCAUUCCAGGCACUGCUGCUCAGAAUGACGCAGGACCCUCGCAGCAAGGGAUGGCCUGCGGCUCCCAGGGAUAUGCUAGAACACUCAGAUGCAAUCUGACAGGCAGCUUCAGUGAUUUGAAGGAAUUCACAAAGAACGUUUUGCCCCUCCUGGAAACUGAAGGAUGGAGCAAUUAAAAUUUCCCAACCCCAUUCAGUGGAAAAGGAAACAUACUGUGGAAAGAAUUGCUAGCAAUUGUAGUCAGUGUCCAUCUCUAUGGAUUUGGCGUGGAAAUUCACAUUACAACAAGUGAAAAACAACUCACGGUACCCUCAAUACAAUGGGCAUCGAUUCUGCUUCCCUUGGUGAUUUAAAAACAAAUCUGGAUCUGGAUAUAUGUGCUUUAGAAAAUGCAAUUUGUCGACUUGGUUGUUACUAUAUGGCAUUUGUAGAGCUUGACUUAGGCUUGUCUUAAAAAAAAAGCUUCUUAAAACUGUAUGCCUUUAUCAGAAGUCGCCCCUCGGCUAUUUACAAGUGCCAUGGUUACAGACCUGCUAGACUGAUGAUAUUCACAUGCAGGAAACAAUGCAAGGAAAACAGGAUUUGCACGGCUCCGACUGCACUGGCCCAAGAAUUCCAGGAAGUGAUUGUACUUUAUGAAACCGUCUGUGCUCCGCUAGAUUGUCUAUAGCUUUUAAGGUCAAGUCCUAUCACGGCGAGUUUGCAAUGCCCUUUGUAACAAGGCAGAGUGUUUAUGAAGCUGAGUACAUGCUGUAUUGUUUAUCAGCCCAGGCAGUUGAAAGGUGCGAUAUUCCAAUCUUGUGGUUCAGGAUGGCACUGGGAAUCGAUCACAGGCUUUUCUGACAUAGGCUUGGGAUUAGUUCAAAGAGUCCCUGGCAACAGUGACCAUGCGACAGUCCAGCACAUGGAGAAAGUCACGAAGCCCACAGUCCCUGACAGGAGAGAUGGGUUUGUGUGGGAGAUCAAUGUGGGGAGCACUGUGAGUUUAUGUUUUAAGAUCCCUGUGCUUCCUGCUGUAGCUGAGCAGUCUCCUUGGAGAGUGAAAGGUGCUGGCGUACAGUAACUGCUGAUUCUGAGAGUACGGAAAGGAGAGUGAGACAACAAUGGAAUUUAUUUCUUCGUAAGAGAGCUGGGAGGCAGCCAGGCAUUCCAGGCCCUUGCUCUCGAAUUCUUUGAUUUCUCUACAUGCAUAAUGACUAGAGACUCCUGUUGCCUCUGGACUCGGGGAUACUGGAGCCGGACAGUGGACGCCCAAACCGCUCAUGUUACUCCACAGCCCUGCCUAAUUUUAGGCGCCAAGGCUGGACGUGACUGACCAGACUCCUGCUCGCUCCCUCUCCACGAAUGAUGUUGGUCCCUGAAGCUAGGUUAAACAAGCAAUAGUCCACAGCUAUUGUUAAGGACGCUGUCGUGAUGGAAUCAGCUGGGCACUGGGCAUCCUUUGCACUCGGAGUGAUGGCGGCUAGCCAGGCAUCUGUGAACUUUCUGGAGACAUUUAGGUGUUGUGUACCAAAGUCACGGCACCUUAGGGGCAAGCAUGAUCCCCCAGUGUUUUCAGAUGCGUGGACUGAAUGAACCUCAGUGAGUGACUGCUGAUGUCAAAUCAAUCAAUAUCGAUUUAAUGAAGUCUGUUAGUUUAUAAGUCAAGUGACUUGCCAUUAGGGACUGUUUCCUCAAGGAUGACAAAAUAAAUAACAACAAUGAAAUACUUUUUAUCCAGUUACCACGUUCUGUGCCCCAUACUGGCUUUUGAAGAUCUGGCUUUGCAAUGUAGCGUUGUAUUUUAUUGACUGAAUUUUAUUUUAUUUCUAAAUUCAUAGGCAUCUUGAGGUUCAUCACUUCAUAGGUACUCUGGACUAACAUCACAUAGUUAUCAAGCCUUUUAAUAAAACUGUUAUUUUUUUCUAGUAGACUCAAUAGAGGACCAUUGUUGGAUGUCUUAUAGGCAUAACUACCUCAUAAAGGGUUGCUAAUUACUGGCCAAAACACUUAACUAAAUAAAAAUUAAAAGUUCCACUCAUCAGGUAAGAAGAGUCCUGAAACCUGUGUUUUGGUCUUGACUCUCCCAUUAACUCCUAGGAAAUUUUACCUCCCCCAGUGACAGACAUUGGGAUAAUCAUUCCCUGCCCCUUUGUUUUUCCUCUGCAAAAAGAGGUGCUUUAAAUAUGUAAUUGAUCUCUAGGGGAUUUCCCAUCUAUGAAGAUUGAAUCUCUAACACUCGGCCUGUAAGUCAGAAGACUCAGAGGUGUUUGAACCAGAGCAACUCCAUCUCGAAUAGGAGCUGGGUAAAAUAAGGCUGAUACUUGCUGGGCUGCAUUCCUACUAAGUUAGGCAUUCUAAGUCAUAGGAUGAGAUCGGAGGUCGCACAAAAUACAGGUCAUAAAGACAUUGCUGAUAAAACAGGUUGCAGUAAAAAAAGCCUGCCAAAACCCACCCAGUCAAGACAAGAGUGACUUCUGGUUGUCCUCACUGCUACACUCCC